UACGUAGGGUGCGAGCGUUAAUCGGAAUUACUGGGCGUAAAGUGUGCGCAGGCGGCCGAGCAAGUCGAGUGUGAAAGCCCCGGGCUUAACUUGGGAAUUGCGCUCGAAACUACUUGGCUGGAGUGUGGCAGAGGAAGGUGGAAUUCCAGGUGUAGCGGUGAAAUGCGUAGAGAUCUGGAGGAACACCGAUGGCGAAGGCAGCCUCCUGGACCAAUAUUGACGCUCAGGCACGAAAGCGUGGGGAGCAAAAAGG
Molecule: ribosomal RNA, 253 nt
Filed under: uncultured bacterium
Lineage: Bacteria
Description: partial 16S ribosomal RNA
Rfam family: Bacterial small subunit ribosomal RNA
Source: RNAcentral